CUUAACACAUGCAAGUCGAACGGAAAGGCCCUGCUUUUGUGGGGUGCUCGAGUGGCGAACGGGUGAGUAACACGUGAGUAACCUGCCCUUGACUUUGGGAUAACUUCAGGAAACUGGGGCUAAUACCGGAUAGGAGCUCCUGCUGCAUGGUGGGGGUUGGAAAGUUUCGGCGGUUGGGGAUGGACUCGCGGCUUAUCAGCUUGUUGGUGGGGUAGUGGCUUACCAAGGCUUUGACGGGUAGCCGGCCUGAGAGGGUGACCGGCCACAUUGGGACUGAGAUACGGCCCAGACUCCUACGGGAGGCAGCAGUGGGGAAUAUUGCACAAUGGGCGGAAGCCUGAUGCAGCAACGCCGCGUGCGGGAUGACGGCCUUCGGGUUGUAAACCGCUUUCGCCUGUGACGAAGCGUGAGUGACGGUAAUGGGUAAAGAAGCACCGGCUAACUACGUGCCAGCAGCCGCGGUGAUACGUAGGGUGCGAGCGUUGUCCGGAUUUAUUGGGCGUAAAGGGCUCGUAGGUGGUUGAUCGCGUCGGAAGUGUAAUCUUGGGGCUUAACCCUGAGCGUGCUUUCGAUACGGGUUGACUUGAGGAAGGUAGGGGAGAAUGGAAUUCCUGGUGGAGCGGUGGAAUGCGCAGAUAUCAGGAGGAACACCAGUGGCGAAGGCGGUUCUCUGGGCCUUUCCUGACGCUGAGGAGCGAAAGCGUGGGGAGCGAACAGGCUUAGAUACCCUGGUAGUCCACGCUGUAAACGGUGGGUACUAGGUGUGGGGUCCAUUCCACGGGUUCCGUGCCGUAGCUAACGCUUUAAGUACCCCGCCUGGGGAGUACGGCCGCAAGGCUAAAACUCAAAGGAAUUGACGGGGCNCCGCACAAGCGGCGGAGCAUGCGGAUUAAUUCGAUGCAACGCGUAGAACCUUACCUGGGUNUGACAUGGAUCGGGAGUGCUCAGAGAUGGGUGUGCCUCUUUUGGGGUCGGUUCACAGGUGGUGCAUGGCUGUCGUCAGCUCGUGUCGUGAGAUGUUGGGUUAAGUCCCGCAACGAGCGCAACCCUUGUUCACUGUUGCCAGCACGUUAUGGUGGGGACUCAGUGGAGACCGCCGGGGUCAACUCGGAGGAAGGUGGGGAUGACGUCAAGUCAUCAUGCCCCUUAUGUCCAGGGCUUCACGCAUGCUACAAUGGCUGGUACAGAGAGUGGCGAGCCUGUGAGGGUGAGCGAAUCUCGGAAAGCCGGCCUCAGUUCGGAUUGGGGUCUGCAACUCGACCUCAUGAAGUCGGAGUCGCUAGUAAUCGCAGAUCAGCAACGCUGCGGUGAAUACGUUCCCGGGGCUUGUACACACCGCCCGUCAAGUCAUGAAAGUUGGUAACACCCGAAGCCGGUGGCCUAACCGUUGUGGGGGAGCCGUCGAAGGUGGGACUGGUGAUUAGGACUAAGUCGUAAC
RNAcentral lists this ribosomal RNA (1438 nucleotides) under uncultured bacterium. Its description in RNAcentral is "16S ribosomal RNA". It matches the Rfam family "Bacterial small subunit ribosomal RNA". The record is from RNAcentral.